GUGCCUAGUUGCCUUGUGCAAUACUCUUGUGGCAUAUUUGCUACACCUCCUGAACUUUGAUCAGUUUGCCUUUUACCAGCUAUUAUGACUCAAAAUUGUCCCCUAGAACAUGGAAUAAUGGCAGAAAGAAAGUGUGUGGUUGAAUAAACACACAGAUUGGCAUCCACCGUUGAAACAGGAAAACAUGUUAUGCUGCUGCUGUUGUGAGGGCUGAUGGGCCUUGAGAGAAAUGUAUUUCCUGCACUAUGUGUGUGUGAGUGUGUGUGAUUAUACUUUUUGGCCUCACAGCCCCAUCAUCCCUUUCUAAUAAGGUCACGUCUAUAAGGGGCUUAGGAUUGCAUCUGGCCUGUGUAAGCCCUCUGAGUUCUGCGGUUCUUAGAGUUCCCUUUUCAGCACUACAGCUCUGCCUUGUUCCCUUGUUCCUCCUUCUGGCGCCCCGUCCUGUGCCCCCUGCAGGAGUCCAAGCUGUCCCCGUGCUGCGUUCUGGUCCGGCCGCCCCUCCCGUGGUGUGGCCCUGGCUGACCCCCCUCCUGCACCCCGCUUCUCUUGCAGAAGCUGCUCUUUGCCGGCUCCCAUUCUCAGCUGGUGCAGCUGCCCGUGGCCGACUGCAUGAAGUAUCGCUCCUGUGCAGACUGUGUCCUCGCCCGGGACCCCUAUUGCGCCUGGAGCGUCAACACCAGCCGCUGUGUGGCCGUGGGUGGCCACUCUGGAUCUCUACUGAUCCAGCAUGUGAUGAUCUCGGACACUUCAGGCAUCUGCAACCUCCGUGGCGGUAAGAAAGGUGAGCUUUUUCAUUCCCCUCGCAUCAGGCUGAGCCCUGGACCAGAGCUGGAGUUUCUGUUCUCCUCUUCCCCAGCCCUGCUUUCCUGCACUAACAUGCACUCUCUUUUCUCUGCCACUACAGUCAGGCCCACUCCCAAAAACAUCACGGUGGUGGCGGGCACAGACCUGGUGCUGCCCUGCCACCUCUCCUCCAACUUGGCCCAUGCCCGCUGGACCUUUGGGGGCCGGGACCUGCCUGCGGAACAGCCCGGGUCCUUCCUCUACGAUGCCCGGCUCCAGGCCCUGGUUGUGAUGGCCGCCCAGCCCCGCCACGCCGGGGCCUAUCACUGCUUUUCAGAGGAGCAGGGGGCGCGGCUGGCUGCUGAAGGCUACCUUGUGGCUGUCGUGGCAGGCCCGUCGGUGACCUUGGAAGCCCGGGCCCCCCUGGAAAACCUGGGGCUGGUGUGGCUGGCGGUGGUGGCCCUGGGGGCCGUGUGCCUGGUGCUGCUGCUGCUGGUGCUGUCAUUGCGCCGGCGGCUGCGGGAAGAGCUAGAGAAAGGGGCCAAGGCUACUGAGAGGACCUUGGUGUACCCCCUGGAGCUGCCCAAGGAGCCCACCAGUCCCCCCUUCCGGCCCUGUCCUGAACCAGAUGAGAAACUUUGGGAUCCUGUCGGCUACUACUAUUCAGAUGGCUCCCUUAAGAUAGUACCUGGGCACGCCCGGUGCCAGCCCGGCGGGGGGCCCCCUUCGCCACCUCCAGGCAUCCCAGGCCAGCCUCUGCCUUCUCCAACUCGGCUUCACCUGGGGGGUGGGCGGAACUCAAAUGCCAAUGGUUACGUGCGCUUACAACUAGGAGGGGAGGACCGGGGAGGGCUCGGGCACCCCCUGCCUGAGCUCGCGGAUGAACUGAGACGCAAACUGCAGCAACGCCAGCCACUGCCCGACUCCAACCCCGAGGAGUCAUCAGUAUGAGGGGAACCCCCACCGCGUCGGCGGGAAGCGUGGGAGGUAUAGCUCCUACUUUUGCACAGGCACCAGCUACCUCAGGGACAUGGCACGGGCACCUGCUCUGUCUGGGACAGAUACUGCCCAGCACCCACCCGGCCAUGAGGACCUGCUCUGCUCAGCACGGGCACUGCCACUUGGAGUGGCUCACCAGGGCACCAGCCUCGCAGAAGGCAUCUUCCUCCUCUCUGUGAAUCACAGACACGCGGGACCCCAGCUGCCAAAACUUUUAAAGGCAGAAGUUUCAAGAUGUGUGUGUUUGUAUUUGCACGUGUGUUUGUGUGUGUGUGUAUGUGUGUGUGCACGCGUGUGUGCGCUUGUGGCAUAGCCUUCCUGUUUCUGUCAAGUCUUCCCUUGGCCUGGGUCCUCCUGGUGAGUCAUUGGAGCUAUGAAGGGGAAGGGGUCGUAUCACUUUGUCUCUCCAACCCCCACUGUCCCGAGUGUCGGGCAGCGAUGUACAUAUGGGGGUGGGGUGGACAGGGUGCUGUGCCCCUUCAGGGGGAGUGCAGGGCUCGGGGUGGGCCUAGUCCUGCUCCUAGGGCUGUGAAUGUUUUCAGGGUGGGGGGAGGGAGAUGGAGCCUCCUGUGUGUUUUGGGGGAAGGGUGGGUGGGGCCUCCCACUUGGCCCCGGGGUUCAGUGGUAUUUUAUAGUUGCCUUCUUCCUGUACAGGGCUGGGAAAGGCUGUGUGAGGGGAGAGAAGGGAGAGAGGGUGGGCCUGUUGUGGACAAUGGCAUACUCUCUUCCAGCCCUAGGAGGAAGGCUCCUAACGGUGUAACUUAUUGUGUCCCCGCGUAUUUAUUUGUUGUAAAUAUUUGAGUAUUUUUAUAUUGACAAAUAAAAUGGAGAAAAUGAAAUGA
This 2624-nucleotide small RNA is filed under the name Pongo abelii (Sumatran orangutan). RNAcentral's name for it is "retained intron". The record is from RNAcentral. Lineage: Eukaryota; Metazoa; Chordata; Mammalia; Primates; Hominidae.